AGGACGAACGCUGGCGGCGUGCUUAACACAUGCAAGUCGAGCGGAAAGGCCCUUCGGGGUACUCGAGCGGCGAACGGGUGAGUAACACGUGAGCAACCUGCCCUUAGCUUCGGGAUAGCUCCGGGAAACCGGAAUUAAUACCGAAUAUGACUUUGGCUGACAUCAGCAGAAGUGGAAAGUUUUUCGGCUAGGGAUGGACUCGCGGCCUAUCAGCUAGUUGGUGAGGUAACGGCCCACCAAGGCGACGACGGGUAGCCGGCCUGAGAGGGCGACCGGCCACACCUGGGACUGAGACACGGCCCAGACUCCUACGGGAGGCAGCAGUGGGGAAUAUUGCGCAAUGGGCGAAAGCCUGACGCAGCGACGCCGCGUGGGGGAUGAAUGCCUUCGGGUUGUAAACCCCUUUCAGCAGGGACGAAGCGAAAGUGACGGUACCUGCAGAAGAAGCGCCGGCUAACUACGCGCCAGCAGCCGC
RNAcentral lists this ribosomal RNA (475 nucleotides) under uncultured bacterium. RNAcentral's name for it is "SSU rRNA". It matches the Rfam family "Bacterial small subunit ribosomal RNA", at positions 26 to 518 of the family's 1533-position model. The record is from RNAcentral.